UGGGGAAUAUUGGACAAUGGGCGCAAGCCUGAUCCAGCCAUGCCGCGUGAGUGAUGAAGGCCCUAGGGUUGUAAAGCUCUCUCACCGGUGAAGAUAAUGACGGUAACCGGAGAAGAAGCCCCGGCUAACUUCGUGCCAGCAGCCGCGGUAAUACGAAGGGGGCUAGCGUUGUUCGGAUUUACUGGGCGUAAAGCGCACGUAGGCGGACUUUUAAGUCAGGGGUGAAAUCCCGGGGCUCAACCCCGGAACUGCCUUUGAUACUGGAAGUCUUGAGUAUGGUAGAGGUGAGUGGGAAUCCGGGUGUAGAGGUGAAAAUCGUAGAUAUUCGGAGGAACACCAGUGGCGAAGGCGGCUCACUGGACCAUUACUGACGCUGAGGUGCGAAAGCGUGGGGAGCAAACAGG
This 404-nucleotide ribosomal RNA is filed under the name Actinomycetes bacterium. RNAcentral's name for it is "Actinobacteria bacterium partial 16S ribosomal RNA". It matches the Rfam family "Bacterial small subunit ribosomal RNA", at positions 355 to 776 of the family's 1533-position model. The record is from RNAcentral. Lineage: Bacteria; Bacillati; Actinomycetota; Actinomycetes.